CUGAGCUACACACAUUGAAACAACAUCGUUGAGUUCGAAGAGUGAUGGAGACAAGAGAUCCGGACUUCUGAACUUCCACUGGAAAAGAUAAAAUGUGCAAGCCCUUCAGGACACUGGGGAGGCUGCGGCUGAACUGAAGAGGGAGACGGGGACAUGCCAGUGUGAAGGCUCCCUGAGGCCAGGGAUGAGACUGUCUCCUGUCUCCUCACCUCAUGUCUUCUAGCACAG
RNAcentral lists this long non-coding RNA (228 nucleotides) under Ursus maritimus (polar bear). Its description in RNAcentral is "lncRNA (ENSUMAG00000024953.1)". Lineage: Eukaryota; Metazoa; Chordata; Mammalia; Carnivora; Ursidae. The record is from RNAcentral.